Molecule: ribosomal RNA, 523 nt
Filed under: uncultured bacterium
Lineage: Bacteria
Description: partial 16S ribosomal RNA
Rfam family: Bacterial small subunit ribosomal RNA
Source: RNAcentral
GACGAACGCUGGCGGCGUGCCUAAUACAUGCAAGUCGAACGCUUUUUCUGUCACCGGAGCUUGCUCCACCGAAAGAAAAAGAGUGGCGAACGGGUGAGUAACACGUGGGUAACCUGCCCAUCAGAAGGGGAUAACACUUGGAAACAGGUGCUAAUACCGUAUAACACUAUUUUCCGCAUGGAAGAAAGUUGAAAGGCGCUUUUGCGUCACUGAUGGAUGGACCCGCGGUGCAUUAGCUAGUUGGUGAGGUAACGGCUCACCAAGGCAACGAUGAAUAGCCGACUGGGGAGGGUGAUCGGCCACACUGGGACUGAGACACGGCCCAGACUCCUACGGGAGGCAGCAGUAGGGAAUCUUCGGCAAUGGACGAAAGUCUGACCGAGCAACGCCGCGUGAGUGAAGAAGGUUUUCGGAUCGUAAAACUCUGUUGUUAGAGAAGAACAAGGAUGAGAGUAAAACGUUCAUCCCUUGACGGUAUCUAACCAGAAAGCCACGGCUAACUACGUGCCAGCAGCCGCCGUAA